Molecule: ribosomal RNA, 789 nt
Filed under: Triticum aestivum (bread wheat)
Lineage: Eukaryota; Viridiplantae; Streptophyta; Magnoliopsida; Poales; Poaceae
Description: partial small subunit ribosomal RNA
Source: RNAcentral
AUGGUGCUCUGGGCCGUAUUCCGUCGUGUCUCGGUGGUCAGACCCAGCUUAUACAUCCUGGCAGUGGGAUCCGAUGAGCCGAGGCACGUCAAAGUCAGAAUGCCAACAGUCUCGUCACCUUCCAUGAAACAUAAGUUAAUGAGCGUGUUGCGCUAUUUGAACCAUUGUCCACCAGCAGUUCACCACCGUGGCAGCCUGCACUGGUGUCCUUUUUCUGUUUGCGGUGUCGCCGACAUUACUGUAGGCAGUGGAGACAUUGUUGUAUUCGACACAGAAGCAGAGUCAUUCCGGUGGAUGCACAGUCCUGACCAGCCGUACCCUAAUAGGAGCUUGUUCGAUAUGAAUGGGACACUUGGUUUCUGGGGCAGCUCAAUCGAGGGUGCUGCAGAUGGUUGUUUCAGUUUCACCGCUUUGGAUAUUUGGGUGAUGCGGGACUACAAGGCCGGAAUCUGGGAUUUCAAGCACCGGGUUGACCUGUCAACGGUUGAGGCAUCAUGGCAACUUUAUCUGACCUCUUGCAAAAGGAAAAGGAAAACACCACUUCAAUCGACAGUGCAAUGGUUCAAUGAUAUGGUUGUGCUUAACGAGCGAGAGCUGCUGAUCUUGUUUAAUGAUAAGCAUGUCUUGCGCUAUGACACUGAUGGCAAGGUCUUAGGUUUGGUGAAGAUUGGAGAGAGUCAAUACUGUCUGUCGCUUACUCCCCGCCGCUUCCAAGAGAGUAUUAUUCCAAUUCCGUCCCGCGAGAUGCAAGAAGAUGAGGAGGCUCCGUUCUCCACGGGGUGUCUCUGA